AGUGAGCGGGCUGUGCAUGUGGGGAGGAGAGGAAGAGACGCUGUCUCGUGGGAACUCCCCCUCCAUUCCACCCCAUCUGCCGAGGGGUACAGGACUGGCGGCCUCAGGGCCCACUAGCUGUCCUCUGCCAACACCCUCACCCCAAGGGCGAGAGCUCAGCCAUUCUCCACUCUGCUGCAGCAGAAUGGAAUUAGACUCACCUUGUUAGAUUGUGCUGCUACCAAUUAAAGAGAGAGAGAGAGAAGAGAAACUCCGUGGAAACAUUCUCCACUUUCCAGCUGCUCUUAUUUAAUCUGUGUAAAUUCCCUGAGGACCUUAAACUAAAUCGACCACCAAAUAUUGAAAAAUAAAAACAAACUGUUAAUUAAA
Long non-coding RNA from Lutra lutra (Eurasian river otter), 369 nucleotides. RefSeq lists it as uncharacterized. The transcript is spliced from 2 exons. NCBI's taxonomy places the organism in Eukaryota, Metazoa, Chordata, Mammalia, Carnivora, Mustelidae. The record is from RefSeq and is a predicted model, not a curated record.